UUCAAGGAAGAAGCAACAGCCCCACCAUCAGCACCCAAAGCUGAUAUUCUAACUAAACUAUUCCCUG
This 67-nucleotide transfer RNA is filed under the name Pteronura brasiliensis (giant otter). RNAcentral's name for it is "tRNA-Pro". The record is from RNAcentral. Lineage: Eukaryota; Metazoa; Chordata; Mammalia; Carnivora; Mustelidae.